RNAcentral lists this ribosomal RNA (305 nucleotides) under uncultured bacterium. RNAcentral's name for it is "partial 16S ribosomal RNA". It matches the Rfam family "Bacterial small subunit ribosomal RNA", at positions 508 to 807 of the family's 1533-position model. The record is from RNAcentral.
ACAGCAGCCGCCGCGGUAAUACGAAGGGUGCAAGCGUUAAUCGGAAUUACUGGGCGUAAAGCGUGCGUAGGCGGUGAGUUAAGUCUGCUGUGAAAUCCCCGGGCUCAACCUGGGAAUGGCAGUGGAUACUGGCUCGCUAGAGUGUGUCAGAGGAUGGUGGAAUUCCCGGUGUAGCGGUGAAAUGCGUAGAUAUCGGAAGGAACACCUGUGGCGAAAGCGGCUCACUGGACAAUAACUGACGCUGAUGCACGAAAGCUAGGGGAGCAAACAGGAUUAGAUACCCCUGUAGUCCCUGUCUCUUAUAC